This is a long non-coding RNA of Pygocentrus nattereri (red-bellied piranha), 1620 nucleotides long. RefSeq lists it as uncharacterized. Lineage: Eukaryota; Metazoa; Chordata; Actinopteri; Characiformes; Serrasalmidae. The record is from RefSeq and is a predicted model, not a curated record. The transcript is spliced from 4 exons.
ACUGCGGCCCAGGCAGUAAAAGCCUUCUGCUUUCAGUCAAGCACCAAGUUUGUCCACAACUUUAAAUCACUGACUGUGUUGUGCUUACUUGGUUGUAUCCGCCUACAAAGGUCAGUUACAACCGGGUCUACGUAAAACUGCCUUCUGGGCUGUUUAAUGCAACUUGUUCCUGCUUUUUUGCUUCGCCUGACUUUGUUGUUGACAUUGAACGGCAGAACCGGUGCUGCGCAGCUCUUGGGAAGAGAACCCUUUCCGACACAGAGGAGAGGCGGUACAUAAAACCCCACACGGUUUGUCUCCGUGUGGUCAGUGAUGGACUAUUUAACACCUUCUGUCCUUUAGUACUGUGUUAAUAUUUAACCUCCUUGUGAAAUCUGAUGGACGGAGCUCCUCUCACUCACAGCGCGUGGACUUACUCCAGAAAACAAUGACGCCUCGGCUCCUUUAAGGCGGAAUCGGCUCAGAGGGGAAUUUGUGAAACUGGCCUCACGUCGCUCUUUGGUGCUGUAGAAAUGUCUAUUUCUGCUCCUCCUCACUGGAAAUGUCUGCUACAGCACUUCAAAGUCGCUCUCUACUGGAGAUGUUUCCUGUUUUUCUGCUACUUUCUCCCGGAAGUUUGAACUGUACUGUUGCACGUCUUCCCGAACCAGUCAUGAAAUGGACGGAGACUGCGGUCCUACGCCGGUAGAUGGUGAAGCUUAAUACACUAAUAACUAUUGGCUUUAAUGUUGUUAUGAUUUUAUGAAGCGUUUAAAACCACAGUGUCUAAAUCUGUAGUCGUGACAGUAAAGUCGCUAUGAGCCUCUAGAUAAGCAGCGAUACACGUGAUACACGUGUCCUGCGAGUAGAGUGUUGUACAUAGACUGAUGGUUAAAGGAGCAAUACUGACAGCAAGCGCCUCAACUGGACACUGCAGUCCAAAUCCAGAACAUUGGACAGUAUAUCGGAGAGUUCUCACCCCUCCUCACCAGACUUGAAGCUCACGCAAAUGGCCGGGUUGAGGACAAGUCUUGAGAAACAGUAACAAGGAAAGUGGGUUUUUAGGCUUUGCACUGAGAAUGCAAGCACUCCUUGUAUUCCAUGUCCUGAAUCAGCUUCCACUGAUGAGCCUCUGCAUACUGCUUUAGCUGUACAGCAUGUGAGCCUGGUCAGAGAUUAAGAGUAAAGACUGCCUAUCAGUCAUCUGAUACAGACUGUGAGCCACUAGAGAGGCAUUCCUGUACUGAUCAAGACAGCUGUAGAUCUUAUACAUACCUGUGAAUCACACAAAAUGCAGCCCAGGACAAUCUACAAAGAGCUCCAGGAUAUGCUCCCUGAACUGCCUGCACGUACGAUAUCUUCUGCUGAAUAUGAGGUGCCUGUGGAAAUGCUCAAUUCUACAAAAGGCUUCUGACCCUCAGCAGUAUGGACUGAACUGUUCUUCUCACCGUGGAGAAACUGGACUGUUGGCCUGAGUCCACAGGAAGUGAAUCAUGUUAUGAUAAAUUCCACUUAAUACUGCCUUGUACUUUUGUAUCAUCACUGGUUUACUGAUUGUGUUGUGCUUUCUUGAUGGUAUCCCCCUAUAAAGGUCAGUAAAGGUUAGAUCCACUCUAAAGUCAGUCUGGACACUAUUUAAUA